UAUUCUUGGUCUUAAUUGUUUGACUAUUUGAUGAAAUAGUUAGACACUAUCUGUGGCGUGUGAAUUGAACUACGGAUAGGGAAUUUGCAUGCGUAAUAAGAAUAAAUAGAGGUUGGUCGAUUAAUCAUUUCGCUAAUGAGGAUAGAAAUAUACCCUUUAGCCUUGUUUAGUUGAAUACGGAAAAGUAAAUGCAUUCUUGUUACCUCUGGCAACCAUAGGAAUAAUAUAGGUGUUAUAGUAGCAUCUACAGGCUUGUGAGCGACUCGGAAGGUACUCAUAAAGUUAACAUCAACUUGUCAACUAGUAACCCAUAGGUAGAACGAUUUGAAGACUCAACUAGAUUGUUAGUGGUCAUAGCCCUAGAUCUAUCUCUUCUCCGAUAAAAAUCCUCUCUUUCUUGGUUGAAGUUCAUUAUUUGCUUUCUUUUAUUUUUAUUUAGUUUAUAAAUAUAACUUUUGGAUUUUAUUUCUUGUUUAGAUAAUUAGCAUUAGUUUAAUUUAGUAAAUAGUUAAUCAUAAGUCCCUGUGGGUACGAUAUCUGAACUUUAAUUCUAUAUUACUUGUACGACCACGUAUACUUGCGUGUGCGUUUGGGAGCAACAACACCAUCCUUCAUUUUCUUGACAUCCAGGGCAAUGUGGGUGCACUUAGAUUACUUUUUUAGGAAAGGCUAGUGAGCAAUUAAGAUCUCAACACAAAAAUUCCUGAUACUUGCUGAAGAGCUUUCUAUUUUUCCCUUGCUGAAGUCUGGCUGUGAAUAAUAAUUUCAGAGCAAAUUUUAGUUUCUUUUUUUCAGGGAUUAUUUGAGUGAGUGCAUGCAAAUAUUGUGUUGUUUCUUUUUCAGGGAUUAUUUGAGUGAGUGCAUGCAAAUAUUGUGUUUCAUAGUAAAUUGACAAAAGCUUACGGUAGACGGUAGUUAUACCUUUAUACUUUCUGGUAGCUUGACUGAAGUUUAUUCCCAGUUCAUAAUAUUGAAGAUUUUGAUCUUAAUUAAAAUACUUAUUUUUCAGGACCAGCGCGAAGAGAAUUUUAUGGGUUACUUGCUACUUUCCACCGAUGCAGUCCAUCUAAUUCAGAUUUGCUCGGCGACGUUCAAACAAAGAGUGAAUGAGGAGCAACAAUCACUUGGGAAGAGUAAUAGGAGACUCUAAGAGACUUUUUAUCCAUUCAUUGGUAUGUCUUGUCUGUCUUUAUGUUCUUUUCUGUCAACCAAUUCCACCAAACAUUCAAGCUAAAAUAGUUGAUUUCUACUAUAUCAUAGUUGACUUAGGAAGAGUAUCGUAGUUGAUAAUUUUCAGUGGCCUUCCCACAUUUACCAGACUUUUCUUUUGAUUUCAUUCUUCAAAGAAUCACUGGGAGAAUGCACUUAAUCUUAUCUCACUUAAAUUUAACACAAUCAUGUUAGUUCAAUGUGCUAUUCAAAUAGUAGUUGCAAUGUAAAUUAUAAAUUUUCUUGUGUUGAUUGCAGAGAAUGAAAAAGGUACAUUCUAGCAGAAGAAGCAUUGAGGAUUGUUGAGUACGAUAUUGAUGAUGAUAAAUAAAAUAUGCUUGUCCUGAUUGUGUUUUAUUCAUAGUUUGUCAAGAAAUAAUAAGGAUACAAAAAAAGGAAUUUAGCAAUAAUUGAUUGUUUGGCGGGAUAUAUUUGUUGCUAAAUUACUAUGAGUAAGUAUCCUAUAUUAUUAUUGAGUUUUCAUCUGUUGGGAUUUAUCAAAAAGGAAUUGGAAUUGAACAAGGAGUCAACAAGAUCUGAAUUAGAUAAGGAAAGGAAUUUGGUUUAACUUCUACUUGUUAUCCCUCUUCAAGUUGGAAUCUAACAAGAUGGAACAAGCGUAUAAUCUAUAAAUAAGGUCUAUCAACGUUCUGAAGAGUCCACACCGAUACAAAUAUUUCAGCAGCCAUUUGAAUUCCAAGCAAAGAAGCCUGAAAUACGAAAUAGAAUUGGGUCAGUGUCUAUGUAUGUCUAAAAGUAUGUUCCAUAGGUUGAAACAUAUUCUCUUUUGUGUUAACUCUAGUGAAUGUAAUAGGUUUGAUUUGUAAUCUUUUAUCAUCUUUCUUAGAAGCGUUAGUUAAGGUUAUAACACUUUCUAAGUUUGUUGUUUUCGUUUACAAGUUAAGGGUAGCUUGAAAGGUAGCAGCAAUUUAGGAUUCUUGUAAAGGGAUUAGGAGUUGGUCCUUUGGAUUGUGAGGGGUAAUCCAAUUUGGCUUGGUGUUUUAGUGAAGUUUAGUUGAAAUCCUACAGGGUGUAGCUCGUGGUUUUUACAUCCAGUCGAGCCUGGAUGGUUUUUCACGUAUAAAUCUGUUGCACAAUA
This is a long non-coding RNA of Lycium ferocissimum, 2308 nucleotides long. RefSeq lists it as uncharacterized. Lineage: Eukaryota; Viridiplantae; Streptophyta; Magnoliopsida; Solanales; Solanaceae. The transcript has 2 exons. The record is from RefSeq and is a predicted model, not a curated record.